CAUUAUAAAGCAGACCAGUAUAAUUGAAUACUACGACGCUCAGCUCGUUGUCACAAAUAGACGGGGAAUUCCCUUUUGGAGAUUUUAUAAUAUGUGUUGACUUCGUAAUCUGUUGAUCAGAUCAUUGGAAUCAGAAUAGAAGAAAGCUGUGUAUAUUAAUUCUGUUACUAUAACAGCACCGUGAUGUCUAACACAUCACUCCGACAAGUUGUCAACCACCAGAGUCUUAAUUUCAACCACCCUUGUAAUGUACAAAUAGGUGAGCACAACAUACAAAACCAGCUAAAAGAGGAUAAUGACAGGAUGAAGAAUGAAAUACAACAACUCCAAUUAGACAAACUGAGUCUCGCUGACAAGAUACAGAAACAAGCUGAUGAGAUAGAGCAACUCAAGUCAAGGGUGAAAGUUCUGGAAGAUAAGACGGAUAUGAUUACUCUUGAUAUAUACCUCGAUUUUGGUAGUUAUGUGAUAACUAUAAGUGUAAGUAGAUGUAGCAGUAUAAGUGAAGUGGAGAAGAUGGUACAGAACCAGAUUAGAAGGAAGUAUGGUAAAGAUGGUGAUGGUCAUAUUGAGUGUAUCUGUGGGGUAGUGAAUCGGGGAAAUAUCCUCUACCAGUGUAAGAACGAUAAAGAUCGACCAUUAAAACAUUUUGGUGUACAAUGUGGAGAUGAAGCCUUGUGGCACUGCUAAUUGUUAAAGGGACAAUAACACUCUUGCUGGCUUGACAGCUCCAUAAAAUCAAAAAUAGCCUUAUUCUAAGUACUGGAUGACCUGAUGUGUAAAUUAUCCAUUAAAUCCAAUUUUACUUGUCCAGUGGGUUCAAAAGUAUUUUUAAAUCCGAGUCACAUUUGAAAAGCUUUACGUCAGGCCUUUCAAAUCAUUUAGUUGAAUUUUUCCAAUUUUUUUAAAUUAGGUGUGUUAAGAUGAAAUUUAUAUCAUCAAUUAAUUGGAAUAUUGUAAAAUAGUACAAUUUGUUGACCAGAAUAAAGAUUGGGACAUAUUGUUCAGUUACAACAAGAGUAGUAUUGAGCCUUUAAAAGACAAUUUCUAUUAUAUUUAUAUUGCACGGUAUAUAAAUAUGACGAUUAUAACGCUGACGAGGAAUAUGUACAGUGGUAAACGAGAGAAAAUGUCGGGGAAAAAUGGCAGUCGUCUGUUGUAUUGUGUAUUAUGGCGUAACAAGUGUGUAUAUAUAAUCCAAACUGUGUAUAUAAUCCGAACAAAAUAUGUUUAUUAUGGUGUUCAAAGUGGGGAUAUAACUAAGCUACUGGUGGUAACAUUAAUCAUUCAUGCAUUACUCUACUAUAAUUGGUUUGACAACACAAUUAUUGCUUAAACGAGAAGCACAGGUCCGUGAAAAUGAACUAGAUUUUGUUUGUCUUUCAUAUUCAAUCUUGAUUCAAACAAAAUUUUACCACGCCUAUAUACUUGUACAGUAUAUUUUAUAUAUACUUGUACAGUAAUAUAUUUCACAAUCUGUUAUCAUUGUUUAACGGUUAGAUUGUCUCCUUUAAAUCCUGACCAGUAUUUAUUGUGGUGUAAUUUGAAAUCUUAUACCCGAUAUUAGUUUAUUUCUGUUCAAUUGUAAACUUAUGUAUUGGAUGAAAUAAAGAUUUA
Molecule: long non-coding RNA, 1617 nt
Organism: Patella vulgata (common limpet)
Lineage: Eukaryota; Metazoa; Mollusca; Gastropoda; Patellidae
Exons: 3
Source: RefSeq, a predicted model, not a curated record